RNAcentral lists this long non-coding RNA (5018 nucleotides) under Triticum aestivum (bread wheat). RNAcentral's name for it is "long non-coding RNA (TAES_LNC012987)". Lineage: Eukaryota; Viridiplantae; Streptophyta; Magnoliopsida; Poales; Poaceae. The record is from RNAcentral.
CAGUUGCCGUCUUCAAAUCAGAAAUUACAAUCCUCUCAUCUUCCAUAUCGCCAGUUUGGAGAGGUAUUCAGCGCAAUUACCCACUUUACAGCAAAUCAGUGUCUAGGUAUGGUAUUUCCACUUAUCUCAUGUCUUGAAGGCCCAAUACACUUUAUUCAUCAGAAAUUAAUUGCAGUCGCCUUUUCGUUCACUAUAUAAAACAGACAAUGACCAAGUACACAUAGUUAAUAUUCGUUUAAAAGAUCACCAGAUUCACUUGAAAAACAGUUUGAAUCUUACUGACCAUCGUAUGUUUCGUCAGGUUUCCAUUUAGAUAUUGCAUAAAUUACUCUCCCUUUCCAUCCUUGUAGCAGCCAACCGCGGUCUUCAACAGCAAAGAAUUCCUCAUGCCAAAACGUGUUCUUCAUGUAUGCUAUUAUCCUUAAGAUGGCUGGAUCGACAGGAAGCUGCUGGAACCCGGCCUUGAGGCACCUUGCGUGCCACUGUCGGUAACUUUCUGGUCUCUCAGUUCUUUCUGCACCCUCACAUGCUAUGAUGUUAAGCGCAUGCUUCCCAAAUAUCAUCCUCUCAAUCAUCUUUCUUGCUUCAUUAUCCCGUGGAGCAACGUUUGAAUCAAGCAUGUCAAACAUUGAAGAGUAAUGGAACAUUACCUCUUUGAAACAUUUUAUGAAGAAGGGAGAACUGCGUAACCCAUUUACGGUGCCUGAAAUGAAAAUCAUUGGGUUCAUCAUCCUCAUCAUUUUGAGCACCUUGUCCCUUGCACUAUUUAUGGCUUCGGUUUCAUGUCCGAGGUUCCUCAUCCGGUACAUGCAGUUGAUUAUGAGAACUUCAUCCUCCUCAAUGUUAAAAUCCUCAGUUUUAAUGGUCUCCCAUCUUGAGGCGGCAAUGCCCUGAUACUGAAAUGGUACCUUGAACAUGUUUGCAUAAUAAGCCAACCGCUUCCCUGUCUCCUCGAUCAUUUCGUUGGGGCGGAAACCUGGCUGACAAACGUCUAUACCUGUGAUCCGAAGCUUAGGGGCUCCCUCUUCUUCCUGUGCAAACUUCUGAAUCAUUAAUGGCCACGGAAAGCCGAAGCCGAUGCCAAAGUCAACGAUGUGCGCGCUUGGUUUCCCUUGUGAGACAUCAAGAAUAGCUUGGCUGGCAAAGUAGUAUGACCUCCCGGAGCCCCGUCGCUGUCCCCUUCACCGGAUCUGGAGUCCCCGCGUCGGCCUCCACCGAUUUCAGCCGGAUCCGGGCCUCGCCGGCCACGCUAGCCCCGCCGGACCCUCCUCCCGCGCCGCCGAACUGCCAUGGCCGCCUCCCUCCUGCGUGCUCGUGCGGGCGCACGAGGAGGAGGACGAGCAGCCGCUCGGGGCCGCCCCAGUGCCGCGUGGGCCCCGCCAAGGCCCAGCCAAGGCGCCCCGGCCCAGCUUCGGCCGGCCUGCCAGGCCGCCUCCUCCACUGAUCUGGGCCUGCGGCCCACUAGGUGAGCACCCCGCCAGCCCUAUCCCUCGUCCGGGCGACAUUUAGUCUUUUUGCGCCCACUCCGUUUUUUCAGUAAUAUGACCAAGUCCCAGAUUUUUCUAUGUUAAGUGAGCAUGUUUGACCUAGCGUAUCUUUGUUCUUGCUAAUCUGUUUGGAGCAUAUAAUAUAUCGAAAUGUUCGCCUCGUGAUGCUCUACAUUUUAUUCAAUUGCACCAUGUUCAUUAGAGGUCAUCUUGAUGCCCUAAUCAUCGUUGCAAGAGUGCUAGUUGCUGUUAUCUUCUGGUUCAUAGCAGAACUUGAUGAUUUGUUAUUUUUAUAUCAUUUAAUCUGUGCAUCUUUUGAGCAUGAGCUCUACAUGUGUUUUGAAGUAUGCCAUGCCAUAUUUCCAGUGGUGUAGUCCAUGUAUUUUUGUGAUCUCUGUGGUGACUAGCACAAGCAUGCAAAAUAGGCUCCGUAAUGUUUUUGAUUUCAGGGACUUAGUGAUUUCUCUAAGUCUUUGUCUGCUGUUAUUUUGUUGCCAUGUAAACUUGAUGCUACAGAGAGAUCCAUGCAUAUUUUGGAGAUGUUCAGUAAGGAUGUUUUGUAGAUAUUGUUGUAAUAGAUCAAUUCCUGCCCUUGUUUGCAAUUAUGGAGUGCCAUAGCAUGACUCAAUCUUGCUCUACUUUUGCUAUAAAAUAUUUCUGGCAGAUUCUUAACAUGAUAUUCAUUUUUGCCAAGCUCGUUAUAGUUGAUACAUACAUGCUAUGCUUUUGUUCUUGCCAUGGAUAGCUUCAUAAACAUGCCAUCUUGCUGUAGGUAUGCUUGGUUUAUCAUGCAUUGCUCUGUAGUGAGUGCAUCAAGCUCACCAACAUGCAUUCAUAUUAUAGUUUCUGCCAUGCUCUGUUUUCUGCUAAGUCUGGAACCUGUUAACGAAACUUGCUAUGUUUACAUGCUUGGCAUCAUAUCUUCUGGUCCUUUUUGGCUUAUGGUCAGUAAGAGACUUUUGUUAUAUGCUUUGAGUAGAUUCAUGCCAUGCCUUGUUUUUCCAUGUUAAGUUCCUGUAACAUGUUGAUUUCGUGCUCUGAACAUUGCUACCUGAUGUUAUUUCUGUCAUGUCCAGUAUUUUUGCUAAGUCUGUGAACCUGUUAUUAUUUGCAAUCUUGCCAUGUCCUUUUGAGCAUGUUCUAGUGAUUUCUGGAGAUAGCUCAGUGUUCAUGUUUUGUCAUGCUUUACCUGUACUUCAUGCCCAUGCCUUUUAUUUUCAUGUUGAGUUGUUGUAGCAUAUUAUUUUGGUGAUUGCUAUAUGCCUAGUUGCUGUUUUGGGUCAGAUUGUUUCCAUGUAUUGUUUGGAGUGUAUGUGUUGCACCGUUGCUCGGUUUUGAGCAUGCUCUACAUGUAACUUGCUCAGUUUUGCAUGUAGUCGCAUAUUAUCAUGUUGCAUCCUUGUUUUGAGGCGUUUGCUUGAUGUUUGUAUGCAUUUUGCAUCAAUGCCAUGUUUAACUUGUUUUGAUCAUAUCUUCUAGGCCGUAGCUCCGAAUCUAAUGAACUUUAUAUGUAACUUGACUAGAAUUUCGUGUAGAUCAUCAUGGUGCUCUUUAACUUGCUGUUUAACAACUUCAACUUAAUGCUUAUUCAGUUCUGGACCAAUUUCGAAAUUUGCAUAUGAGGACUUACCGGAAUUGUUAUAUGUUGUUUUCGGCCUCAUUUAAACUUGCCUUGAUGUGUUGUUCUUGUAUGCAUCAUCUCUUGUCAUGAGUAGCUUCAUGUAGCCUUGUCAUGCAUCAUUCUUGAUUGAGCAUCAUGCCUUGUUCCUGUGUGAUGUGUUUACCAUGUUGUGUGCUUCUUCUCGAUAGUUCCCGUGUCGUUGCGAUCGUGAGGAUUCGUUCGUCUUCGUGGCUUCAUCUUCUUCAUGGAUUCGUUCUUCUUCCUAGCGGGAUUUCAGGCAAGAUGACCGUCACCUUGGAUCUCAUUACUAUCAUUGCUAUGCUAGUUGCUUCGUUCUAUCGCUUUGCUCCGCUACCUAUUCACUUGCUCUUCAAGCCUCCCAAAUUGCCAUGAACCUCUAACCUUUGUCACCCUUCCUAGCAAACCGUUGUUUGGCUAUGUUACCGCUUUGCUCAGCCCCUCUUAUAGCGCUAAUAGUUGCAGGUGAAGAUGAAGAUUGCUCCAUGUUGGAUUAUGUUUAUGUUGGGAUAUCACAAUAUCUCUUAUAUUAUUAAUGCAUCUAUAUACUUGGUAAAGGGUGGAAGGCUCGGCCUUAUGCCUGGUGUUUUGUUCCACUCUUGCCGCCCUAGUUUCCGUCAUACCGGUGUUAUGUUCCCGGAUUUUGCGUUCCUUACACGGUUGGGUGAUUUAUGGGACCCUCUUGACAGUUCGCUUUGAAUAAAACUCUUCCAGCAAGGCCCAACCUUGGUUUUAUCAUUUGCUCAGCCUAUUUCUUUUCCCUAGGGAGUCGCUCUCUCGAGGGUCAUCUUAUUUUAACCCCCCCGGGCCAGUGCUUCUCUAAGUGUUGGUCCGAACUGAGUAGACUGCGGGGCCACCUCGUGGAAACUCGAGGUCUGGUUUUACUCGUAGGAUGUCUCAUCCGGUGUUGCCCUGAGAACGAGAUAUGUGCAGCUCCUAUCGGGAUGUCGGCGCAUCGGGCGGCUUUGCUGCUUUUGUUUUACCAUUGUCGAAAUGUCUUGUAACCGGGAUUCCGAGACUGAUCGGGUCUUCCCGGGAGAAGGAAUAUCCUUCGUUGACCGUGAGAGCUUAUCAUGGGCUAAGUUGGGACACCCCUGCAGGGUAUUAUCUUUCGAAAGCCGUGCCCGCGGUUAUGAGGCAGAUGGGAAUUUGUUAAUGUCCGGUUGUAGAUAACUUGUCACUUGACCUUAAUUAAAACGCAUCAACCGCGUGUGUAGCCGUGAUAGUCUCUUCUCGGCGGAGUCCGGGAAGUGAACACGGUUUAUGGGUUAUGUUUGACGUAAGUAGGAGUUCAGGAUCACUUCUUGAUCAUUGCUAGUUUCACGACCGUUCCUUUGCUUCUCUUCUCGCUCUUCUUUGCGUAAGUUAGCCACCAUACAUGCUUAGUCGCUGCUGCAACCUCACCACAUUAUCCUUUCCUUUCCCUUUAAGCUUUGCUAGUCUUGAUACCCAUGGUAAUGGGAUUGCUGAGUCCUCGUGGCUCACAGAUUACUACACCACCAGUUGCAGGUACAGGUUGUGCGAUGAUCAUGACGCGAGAGCGAUGUUUACUUGUUUGGAGUUCUUCUUCUGCUUCUUCUUCGAUCAGGGGAUAGGUUCCAGGUCGGCAGCCUGGGCUAGCAGGGCGGAUGUCGUUUGAUCUUCUGUUUAUGUUUCAUCCGUAGUCGGAUGUUGAUCUCAUGUAUGAUGUAUUGAUGUAUUCUUGUGGCAUGUGUAUGCCUUGUAUGUAUCCCCAAAUAUUAUGUAAUGUUGAUGUAAUGAUAUCCACCUUGCAAAAGCGUCUUCAAGAUGCGCUUCUAUCCUUCGUGGGACCUUCGAGUUCCUUUAGGACCAAUCUGUUGUACUUGUUCGCCUCUCCAUGAGGUUGCAAUAAACCUGACCCCCGAUCCCAG